This is a long non-coding RNA of Etheostoma spectabile (orangethroat darter), 124 nucleotides long. RefSeq lists it as uncharacterized. Lineage: Eukaryota; Metazoa; Chordata; Actinopteri; Perciformes; Percidae. The record is from RefSeq and is a predicted model, not a curated record. The transcript has 3 exons.
AAAGAGGAAUGAGAAAUGAGAUGAGAUGAUUGGUUUAUUUCAUGUUAUGCCCAAAAUACACCUAUGAAUUAAUGAAGAAACUCAGUACAACCCUUUUGAACCAUGCGCCUGGUGCACUGACCCU